RNAcentral lists this ribosomal RNA (211 nucleotides) under uncultured bacterium. RNAcentral's name for it is "partial 16S ribosomal RNA". It matches the Rfam family "Bacterial small subunit ribosomal RNA", at positions 1290 to 1500 of the family's 1533-position model. The record is from RNAcentral.
AGUUCAGAUUGCAGGCUGCAACUCGCCUGCAUGAAGUUGGAAUUGCUAGUAAUCGCGAAUCAGAAUGUCGCGGUGAAUACGUUCCCGGGCCUUGUACACACCGCCCGUCACACCAUGAGAGUUUGUAACACCCAAAGCCGGUGGGGUAACCUUUUGGAGCCAGCCGUCUAAGGUGGGACAGAUGAUUAGGGUGAAGUCGUAACAAGGUAGC